GCAGAAACAAAAAUUCAGUACAUAUACGAAAACAAGAAACUUGCUCAAAAGUAAAUGCUUCAUCAAUUGAAAGAUUCAUGUCUAGGAGGAGACAUCAGACAACAGAGUGUUGCUAGGACUUGACCACUGAUUCAGCAUACUGAAGCCCAAGCGAAAGACAAUGCUGGAGUUCUAAUAAAACUUAACUCAACUCAAUUAAGCAUUUAUCCUAAAAAUGUGACGAAAUUUUUACGCU
This 235-nucleotide unclassified non-coding RNA is filed under the name Hevea brasiliensis (rubber tree). Lineage: Eukaryota; Viridiplantae; Streptophyta; Magnoliopsida; Malpighiales; Euphorbiaceae. The record is from RNAcentral.